RNAcentral lists this long non-coding RNA (1168 nucleotides) under Notechis scutatus (mainland tiger snake). RNAcentral's name for it is "lncRNA (ENSNSUG00000000358.1)". The record is from RNAcentral. Lineage: Eukaryota; Metazoa; Chordata; Lepidosauria; Squamata; Elapidae.
GUCAGCAACGCCCCACCUAAAGCAAGCCCAACCGAAUGGGAAACGCCGAGGGGACCGUGGUCCCGUAUUCAUAUUGACUUUGCGGGGCCUACCAAAGGGCACACUUUCCUGAUUACUGUCGACGCCUAUUCUAACUGGCUCAAGAUUCAUCGAAUGCACACAACUACAACAGACUCAGUUAUUAAUAAAUUAAACAGACUAUUCGCCACACACGGGUUUCCGGACGUAUUGGUCUCGGACAACGGCCCUCAGUUCACUGCAUUGCCUUUUGAACAAUAUCUUGCCGAUCGGGGCAUCCGCCAUGCGUUAACCUCGCCCGCGCACCCUGCGGUGAAUGGACGUGCAGAACGCAUGGUACAAUUCGUAAAAAAGACCCUUCACAAAAUGGAAUUUGGCAACAUCGACGAGAAAAUCAAUCGAAUUCUUUUGUUGCAACACAUCACGCCUCACAGCUUGACCAACAAAACACCCGCUGAACUUCUUAUGGGGCGGAAACUCCGAUCGCACCUUGACCGGCUCCACCCCGCUUUCGCACCAGAAAAGCCUUUCGGUUCCAGCAGCAAAUGCCGGGAAUUUAAGGUAGGCGAUUUAACCUUUGCCAAAAACUUUUCCGGCGACCCGCUAUGGAUACCCGCAACCGUUACCCACCUCACCGGGCCUAGAUCUUACCGUCUGCUUACAGACGAUGGGAGGGUGUGGAAACGCCACAUAGACCAGCUCUGGUCGAGAUUACCACCCAGCGGUCAUGGCCCCCCGGGUUCUCCAACUCAAGGGGGAGGAAGCAUCGAGGAGGGUGACUUUGAUAUAAUUAAUAGCGGGCCAACGGAGGCCCUACAGCCCAGUGAAACACCGGAGCAUGAAGCGGGAAGGGAGUUGACUUUGCCAGGGAACUCUAAUACGGGGGAAACUGAACUGCUAAACCCCGAAGAAACACGGAGUAGCAGAGACAACCAAAGCGAAGGCAGCACGGAAUCGCCGUGCAGAGAAAUAGAAUUUAAUAAAGGUCAUCCAAACGCUCCACCGGAACCGGACAUUGGACAAAACCCGGUGGAGCCUCGGAAAUCAUCCAGGCAGACCAAACGGCCUGCCUAUCUUGAGGAUUUUAUUACAGCUCCCCUCAAACGGAACCCAAGGGGGAGGGGUGUUGUGAAUCAAUAAAAGUUAAUAU